RNAcentral lists this long non-coding RNA (2167 nucleotides) under Gossypium barbadense (sea-island cotton). RNAcentral describes it as "long non-coding RNA (GBAR_LNC004915)". The record is from RNAcentral. Lineage: Eukaryota; Viridiplantae; Streptophyta; Magnoliopsida; Malvales; Malvaceae.
UUCUCUUCUCCAACAAAAAAUUACAGCAAAGAAACACCAUUUUCGGAGCUUCAACACUCGGCCAUAUCUCCCUUGCAUGUAGGUGCGUUUUUGUCCCAUUUUUGUUGAUUUUUAUGUUUUGGGAUCGUUGUAGCUUAACCUAGUUAAUUAGGGGACUAAUUUGCAAAACUAUGGAAUAGUUUGAGAUUUUCCAUUGAUGAAAAUGUUAGGGUUUUGAAGUUUAAUGGAAGAAAAUGAAUCUUUGUUGUUAGUUAAAUAUUUUUUGUUAAGUGAUUUUUAAUGAAAUUAUCAAUUAGGGGUUAAAUUGAGAAAUAUAAAAAUUUUGGGUUAAAUGUGCUAAAUUGUGAAAUGUAUGAGCUUCUUUGAGCAUAUAUAAUUUUCAGCUAGGCUUGGGUGCAGUGAAAUUUCAGGAAUUUUUAUUUUACGAGCUUAAAAACUAAAUUGUAAAAAGGUCAAAAGUAUAGGGGAAAAAUGUUAAUUUUGUCAUAAUAUGAAAAUUUAUUGAAUUGAGUAGAAUAAUGAUUAAAUGAGUUAAAUUUGAUUAUAUAGAUCAAGAAAAAUGACGUAUGGAAUUAGAUAGAGGAAAAGACAAAGUUAUCGAUUAAACGAUCGUUUUUCGUCGUACGAGUUCGAGGUAAGUUCGUAUGUUAAUAAGCACUAUUAUCAUUGAGAUUUAGUGCUUUAUAUUUGAAUUGUUGAAGGAUACAAUUGUACAGAAGUAUUUGACGGAAAUUCGGGCCAUGAUAUUAUCACUUCGGGUGCGAGUCAUAUUGAUUUGGCUUCGGGCCAUGAUAUUAGCACUUCGGGUACGAAUUAAAUUGAUUUGGCUUCGGGCCAUGAUAUUAGCACUUCGGGUGCAAGUCAUGUUGAUUUGACUUCGGCCAUGAUAUUAUUACUUUGGGUGCGAGUUAUAUUGAUUUGGCUUCGGGCCAUGAUAUUAGCACUUCGGGUGCGAGUUAUAUUGAUUUAGCUUCGGGCCAUGAUAUUAGCACUUUGGGUGCGAGUCAUAUUGAUUUGGCUUCUGGCCAUGAUAUUAGCACUUCGGGUGCGAGUUAUGUUGAUUUGGCUUCGGGCCAUGAUAUUAGCACUUGGAGUGCGAGAUACAUUGAGUUGGUUUCGGGCCAUGAUAUGGGCACUUAGGAUGCGAGACUCCCGAAUAUCCGAUUUCUAUUCCAAAUGGUUCAACGGUAAAUUAAAUAUGUGAAAUGGUGAAAAAUAAAUACGCAUCAAUACAGGUAUGUACGGAAGGCUAUACGAUCAUUGGAACUAAGGAAGUUGUGAACAUUAUGAGAAAUUAUGUGAUUGAAUUUAUGUUAACCUUGUUAUUAAUUUGUUGGUGAAUAUCAUAUUCAUAUUAUUUGAAUGGUAUAUAUAUUUAUGACAUAUGAAUACAUGAUGAACUUAGUUGUGGUUAAAUUCAUAUAAAUAGAAGGAAAGAUAGACAAAUGCCUUAAUUAGAAUUGCUAUCAAAGCAUGGAAAAUAGUAUGAGUUAUUAGAUGGUAAAAAUAUGCUUAUACACAUGCCUGAAAAUGUGAAUGCACUAAGAAGUGUGUACUUAUGCUAUGUUGUUUUGAGAUGGGUUACUAAUUUAUGUGAUAAUUAAAAUUGAAAGGUUAAUGUUGUUUAGACCAAGGCCAAGAUAUAUUGAAUUGACUAAAGUGAAUUAUGCUUAUAAAUUGAAGUAGUAAGCUUUAUUUUUGAAUUACGAACUUACUAAGUAUUUCAUGCUUACUUUGUGCUAAUUUCUUUGUGUGCUUAGAUAUCGGAAGCUCGUUCGGGUUGGAAGAUGGUGGAGAUUUCAUCACACUAUCUAUCGGCUAUUUUGGUAUUGUGGUUUUAUAAUUUCGGUUAUAAUGGCAUGUAUAGGUCGUUUUGGCUAAUGAUAGCCUACAUGUUUUGUUAUGUUUUUUGUCAUUUGAUUUGGCUUGUAUCUGAGAUAUUAUUAUGCAUGUUAUUUGUGUAAAUGGCUUUAUUAUAUUCAGUCGCGGUUGUGAAGUGGUGUUUCGAUAUCAAAUGGUUGAAUUUGAUAAGUGACAUACAUGCUAAGUUUUAGGCACAAUGAGGCAUAUUUGUUUUUGAUCAUUUAGGUAUAUUUUGGAAAGCAUAAUUGGUAUGUGUUAAAGUGGUCAAUGGAUGUGAUUAUGAGUAUCAUGUUGUAUGUGUGAA